Molecule: long non-coding RNA, 293 nt
Filed under: Homo sapiens (human)
Lineage: Eukaryota; Metazoa; Chordata; Mammalia; Primates; Hominidae
Description: HSALNT0157546
Source: RNAcentral
UUUGUCUUUUCGGAAAAGUGGAGUUUUAAAAAUUCACUUGAAGGUAAUGGACUGAGAUUGCUUCUGUCCCAAGGACCAGCGGGAUCCUGGCGAGGUGUGGGGUUCCAAGUUCCAGUUGCCACAGUAUCAAAGUCUUAGCCAUCUCCUCAUUUCCAGAUCUUUUUCUAAUAAAAGCACUGUUUAAAUGUCUCACUUUGACUUUAUUUACUCCCUUAAAUUCCUCCAAUGUGUAAAAUCGAUCUCGAAUAAUAGCUAAAAUGUUGAAUCACAGCAUGGUAUUGGGCAUCACGGUG